Molecule: ribosomal RNA, 408 nt
Filed under: uncultured Flavonifractor sp.
Lineage: Bacteria; Bacillati; Bacillota; Clostridia; Eubacteriales; Oscillospiraceae
Description: bacterial SSU rRNA
Rfam family: Bacterial small subunit ribosomal RNA
Source: RNAcentral
UGGGGAAUAUUGGGCAAUGGGCGCAAGCCUGACCCAGCAACGCCGCGUGAAGGAAGAAGGCUUUCGGGUUGUAAACUUCUUUUGUCAGGGACGAAACAAAUGACGGUACCUGACGAAUAAGCCACGGCUAACUACGUGCCAGCAGCCGCGGUAAUACGUAGGUGGCAAGCGUUAUCCGGAUUUACUGGGUGUAAAGGGCGUGUAGGCGGGAUUGCAAGUCAGAUGUGAAAACUGGGGGCUCAACCUCCAGCCUGCAUUUGAAACUGUAGUUCUUGAGUGCUGGAGAGGCAAUCGGAAUUCCGUGUGUAGCGGUGAAAUGCGUAGAUAUACGGAGGAACACCAGUGGCGAAGGCGGAUUUUGCUUGGACAGUAACUGACGCUGAGGCGCGAAAGCGUGGGGAGCAAACA